GGAUUAGAUACCCUGGUAGUCCACGCCGUAAACGAUGUCUACUAGCCGUUGGGGUCCUUGAGACUUUAGUGGCGCAGCUAACGCACUAAGUAGACCGCCUGGGGAGUACGGUCGCAAGAUUAAAACUCAAAUGAAUUGACGGGGGCCCGCACAAGCGGUGGAGCAUGUGGUUUAAUUCGACGCAACGCGAAGAACCUUACCAGGUCUUGACAUCCUACUAAGUUUCCAGAGAUGGAUUCGUGCCUUCGGGAAAGUAGUGACAGGUGCUGCAUGGCUGUCGUCAGCUCGUGCCG
RNAcentral lists this ribosomal RNA (293 nucleotides) under uncultured bacterium. RNAcentral's name for it is "partial 16S ribosomal RNA". It matches the Rfam family "Bacterial small subunit ribosomal RNA", at positions 775 to 1067 of the family's 1533-position model. The record is from RNAcentral.